This 497-nucleotide ribosomal RNA is filed under the name uncultured bacterium. RNAcentral describes it as "partial 16S ribosomal RNA". It matches the Rfam family "Bacterial small subunit ribosomal RNA", at positions 28 to 507 of the family's 1533-position model. The record is from RNAcentral.
GAUGAACGCUGGCGGCGUGCCUAAUACAUGCAAGUCGAGCGAACAGACGAGGAGCUUGCUCCUCUGACGUUAGCGGCGGACGGGUGAGUAACACGUGGAUAACCUACCUAUAAGUCUGGGAUAACUUCGGGAAACCGGAGCUAAUACCGGAUAAUAUAUUGAACCGCAUGGUUCAAUAGUGAAAGACGGUUUUGCUGUCACUUAUAGAUGGAUCCGCGCCGCAUUAGCUAGUUGGUAAGGUAACGGCUUACCAAGGCAACGAUGCGUAGCCGACCUGAGAGGGUGAUCGGCCACACUGGAACUGAGACACGGUCCAGACUCCUACGGGAGGCAGCAGUAGGGAAUCUUCCGCAAUGGGCGAAAGCUUGACGGAGCAACGCCGCGUGAGUGAUGAAGGUCUUCGGAUCGUAAAACUCUGUUAUUAGGGAAGAACAAAUGUGUAAGUAACUAUGCACGUCUUGACGGUACCUAAUCAGAAAGCCACGGCUAACUACGUG